Molecule: ribosomal RNA, 497 nt
Filed under: uncultured bacterium
Lineage: Bacteria
Description: partial 16S ribosomal RNA
Rfam family: Bacterial small subunit ribosomal RNA
Source: RNAcentral
GAUGAACGCUGGCGGCGUGCCUAAUACAUGCAAGUCGAGCGAACAGACGAGGAGCUUGCUCUUCUGACGUUAGCGGCGGACGGGUGAGUAACACGUGGAUAACCUACUUAUAAGACUGGGAUAACUUCGGGAAACCGGAGCUAAUACCGGAUAAUAUGUUGAACCGCAUGGUUCAACAGUGAAAGACGGUCUUGCUGUCACUUAUAGAUGGAUCCGCGCCGCAUUAGCUAGUUGGUAAGGUAACGGCUUACCAAGGCAACGAUGCGUAGCCGACCUGAGAGGGUGAUCAGCCACACUGGAACUGAGACACGGUCCAGACUCCUACGGGAGGCAGCAGUAGGGAAUCUUCCGCAAUGGGCGAAAGCCUGACGGAGCAACGCCGCGUGAGUGAAGAAGGUCUUCGGAUCGUAAAACUCUGUUAUUAGGGAAGAACAAAUGUGUAAGUAACUAUGCACGUCUUGACGGUACCUAAUCAGAAAGCCACGGCUAACUACGUG